GCCUGGCUGGCUCAGUCAGUAGAGCGUGAGACUCUUGAGUUCAGGGUUGUGAGUUCAAGCCCCGCUCUGGGUG
Molecule: transfer RNA, 73 nt
Filed under: Felis catus (domestic cat)
Lineage: Eukaryota; Metazoa; Chordata; Mammalia; Carnivora; Felidae
Also listed under: 6 other names
Rfam family: tRNA
About the family: Transfer RNA (tRNA) molecules are approximately 80 nucleotides in length. Their secondary structure includes four short double-helical elements and three loops (D, anti-codon, and T loops).
Source: Rfam by way of RNAcentral